This 442-nucleotide ribosomal RNA is filed under the name uncultured bacterium. RNAcentral describes it as "partial 16S ribosomal RNA". It matches the Rfam family "Bacterial small subunit ribosomal RNA", at positions 338 to 795 of the family's 1533-position model. The record is from RNAcentral.
CCUACGGGUGGCAGCAGUGGGGAAUAUUGGACAAUGGGCGCAAGCCUGAUCCAGCAACGCCGCGUGAAGGAAGAAGGCUUUCGGGUUGUAAACUUCUUUUGUCAGGGAAGAGAAGAAGACGGUCUCUGACGAAUACGCCACGGCUAACUACGUGCAAGCAGCCGCGGUUAUGCGUAGGUGGCAAGCGUUGUCCGGAUUUACUGGGUGUAAAGGGCGUGUAGCCGGGUUGACAAGUCAGGUGUGAAAUCCUGCGGCUUAACCGCAGAACUGCCUUUGAAAGCGUGGAUCUGGAGUACAGGAGAGGCAGGCGGAAUUCCUAGUGGAGCGGUGAAAUGCGUAGAUAUCAGGAGGAACACCAGUGGCGAAGGCGGUCUGCUGGACAGCAACUGACGGUGAGGCGCGAAAGCGUGGGGAGCAAACAGGAUUAGAUACCCGUGUAGUC